Non-coding RNA from Acanthosepion pharaonis, 103 nucleotides. Lineage: Eukaryota; Metazoa; Mollusca; Cephalopoda; Sepiida; Sepiidae. The record is from the annotation of a GenBank genome assembly.
CAUAUUAAAACACCAGUUCCCAUACAAUCACUUGAAGUUAAGCAAUGUCGAGCCUGGUCAGUGCCUAGAUAGGUGACUGCUUGGGAAUACCAGAUGCUGUAAG